This 30-nucleotide transfer RNA is filed under the name Cyanthillium montanum. RNAcentral describes it as "Cyanthillium cinereum var. montanum partial tRNA-Phe". Lineage: Eukaryota; Viridiplantae; Streptophyta; Magnoliopsida; Asterales; Asteraceae. The record is from RNAcentral.
AGCUCAGUUGGUAGAGCAGAGGACUGAAAA